CGGUUAGGGUUUGGAAAGCUCUGAUAAAAUUUAUAUACAUUAUACAUAUAUUCAAUUGCCAAAUGUAUAAGAUUUGAAUAAAUAUUUAUGAAAAUAAUCAAUGACAAAAUUAGUCAUUUCAGUAGCUAUACCUACAUUACUGUAAGAUAUUUUAUAUUGUGGGAUGACGUGGGGUGCUUAAUUCUUAAAUCCCCUUUUCUUUGUUUUUUCCAACUUCCAACUUUUUUCCUUUUUUCCCAGAACCUCUUUUUUUUUUGUAUCCUCUAUAUCUGACAACCCCCUUUGCCCUUAAAUCCCACAUCCUGAAAGGGUGUCAUCCCCCUUGAUCAAAUUGCUUGAUUUGAUGUUACAUUGAAUAACAGACAUUGCAUUAGGAAAAAGAUUCAGGGACAAAUAUAAUGCAAUAAAUAUUUUUUUGGAAAAAUGAUACAUUACAACAAAUAUUCAUUUUCUAUCAGUUUGUGCCUAAAAUAAAUUAUAAGCAUGUUCAUUGGCCAAUGUAGUAAUAUCACAUAAUUUUGUGUAUAGGAAACUUAUAUACCAUGUCAAAUGUAACCAAAAUGUAAUAUGCGAUAUUCCAAGUUAUUGCACCAGUGCUAAAAUAGCUUGAAAAGGGUGACUGAUGUUUAGUGUAGAGAGUUUCUGUCAUUUUAAAAAUUUUGUCAAAUAGUUAAAAAGGUUUGAUGCAAGAAUAUUGGCAAAUAUUAUCUGUAAUGCAAUAUUUAUUGCACCUAGAAGCUUGUGCAAUAACAUAUUCCACUUGAGACAAUAUUAACCAAUAAUUUUAUGUUAUUAGUAGUAAUAAAUUAUAGAAAUAUUCAGUAAGAAUUAGUUUGUAUUUGUGUUAUAAUGUAAAAAUGUUUGUAUUCCGUGUUCAAAUUUAUACUUUUCUACUUCCCGUGUUUAAUGUAGAACAUUCUGUCUCUAUGCACUGUUAUGUGAAAGUCUUUGAAAUCUUUUGUUUUACUGAAAAAAAUAAUUGAAAUCAGUUAAAAUUGACAGAAAAUAACGUUUAUCAAUUUGUUUCCAGAUGUUCGAAAAUGAGAGCAAAUUUGACGAUUUUAACAAAUUGAAACUUAAUUUUCAUAUGCAAAAGUACAAUGUAAAUAAAAAAUUCUUCACCAUCGGAAAGUACCAUAAGUAGAAAUCAAUUGUUUCUUGUGUCAAUGCUCUUAGGUCUUUUCUGGUCAUAUUUUAAGUAAUAUAAUCAGAUAAGUAUUGAGAAAUGACACUGUAGACUCUCUAUUCUCCCUGGUGGACAUGUGCUCAGAGAAAAAAUUUUCAUGAUCCAAUCCAG
Molecule: long non-coding RNA, 1297 nt
Filed under: Mytilus galloprovincialis (Mediterranean mussel)
Lineage: Eukaryota; Metazoa; Mollusca; Bivalvia; Mytilida; Mytilidae
Source: RNAcentral